CCUACGGGGUGCAGCAGUGGGGGAUAUUGCACAAUGGGGGAAACCCUGAUGCAGCGACGCCGCGUGUAGGAAGACGGUCCUCUGGAUUGUAAACUACUGUCCCCAGGGACGAAGAUGACGGUACCUGGGGAGGAAGCUCCGGCUAACUACGUGCCAGCAGCCGCGGUAAUACGCAGGGAGCGAGCGUUGUCCGGAAUUACUGGGUGUAAGGGGAGCGUAGGCGGGGAUGCAAGUUGGGUGUUAAAUCUACCGGCUCAACUGGUAGUCGCACUCGAAACUGCAGCUCUUGAGUGAAGUAGAGGCAGGCGGAAUUCCUGGUGUAGCGGUGAAAUGCGUAGAUAUUAGGAGGAACACCAGUGGCGAAGGCGGCCUGCUGGGCUUUUACUGACGCUGAGGCUCGAAAGCGUGGGGAGCAAACAGGAUUAGAUACCCGAGUAGUC
Molecule: ribosomal RNA, 440 nt
Filed under: uncultured bacterium
Lineage: Bacteria
Description: partial 16S ribosomal RNA
Rfam family: Bacterial small subunit ribosomal RNA
Source: RNAcentral